This 253-nucleotide ribosomal RNA is filed under the name uncultured bacterium. Its description in RNAcentral is "partial 16S ribosomal RNA". It matches the Rfam family "Bacterial small subunit ribosomal RNA", at positions 524 to 776 of the family's 1533-position model. The record is from RNAcentral.
UACGAAGGGAGCGAGCGUCAUUCGGAAUUACUGGGCGUAAAGAGCAUGUAGGCGGUUGACUAAGUUAGUUGUCAAAUCUCUCGGCUUAACCGGGAACAAGCAACUAAAACUGAUCGACUAGAGGACAAGAGAGAGAAGUGGAAUUCUCGGAGUAGCGGUAAAAUGCGUAGAUCUCGAGAGGAACACCGGUUGCGAAGGCGGCUUCUUGGCUUGUAUCUGACGCUAAAGUGCGAAAGCGUGGGGAGCAAACAGG